This 1146-nucleotide long non-coding RNA is filed under the name Ananas comosus (pineapple). RNAcentral describes it as "long non-coding RNA (ACOM_LNC034379)". Lineage: Eukaryota; Viridiplantae; Streptophyta; Magnoliopsida; Poales; Bromeliaceae. The record is from RNAcentral.
AUAUUUUUGAAGUUUUGAAGGGCAUAUUAGAUAUUAUUUCAAAAAUUUAUACACUUUUCAACUGCAUGCAAUUAAAUAAAUAAUUUAUAGUUGCAUCACAUUUUAUUAUAUCUAAUCAAACAAGAUAUAUAUAUAUAUAUAUAUAUAAUUAUAUGUACUUUUAAUUUAGAAAAAAUUUCCAAUACCACCCAUGUAUUUUCACACUUAUUCACUUUAGUAUCCUGUGGUUUUAUUUUCUCUUUUUGUUAUCCCCUGUACUAAUUUUUUUCAUUAAAUCAGUGACAAAAUUAAAACUAAAGGGUAUUAAAGUAAAAAUUCGAUAAACUAUAGUUGGGUAUCUGAAGUUUUUUGUAUAUGAUUUAAUAAAAAAUAACGGAAGGGCCGACGAAAAGAGAAAAAUGAAAUCACAGGUACUAAAUUAAUACACUUUAAAUCACAGAAUACUAAAGUGAGAAAAUGCGAAACUAUAAGGAUGGUAUUUGAAGUUUACCCUUUAAUUUAUGUGUAUUUUGAACUAUAUUAUUUUUUUCAUUUACAUUUAACCAUAUGGAUUAUGAAAAAAUGUGCUUUAGUUUGACGGAACAUUCUCCAAAGUUCUAGAAGGUCUAGAAGUUAUUCUUCUCCAUUUUCAACGAAACUUAGUCCUCAUAUACGGCCCAUAAACCUACGCGCUUUCCUUGCAUUUUAAAUUAGGGUUAAUUGCCUAUAGGUCCCUACAAAUAUAAUAAAUUAUAAAUAUAUUCUUAGAAAGUUUAACUUUUAUAUGUUGUCCCUACAAAAGUCCUAAUGUCUUUAAAUUUGUCCCUAUCGUUAAAAACCGUUAGAAAAAUUUAGUUAAUCAUAAAUUAAAUACUUAAUUCUGGUUAGUUUGUGAGAUAACUUGAUAUUUUUAUCCCUCUUAUAUUAUACUAUUAUUGUUUUUGGAAGGACAUAUCUGUGAUGACAAAAUUGAUAUUUUGCUUAUUUACUGUUAAGAUAUAAACAGUUCUCUAACAGUCAUAAACCAGAGAAAUAUAUUUGAAAACAUUAGAACUUUUGUAGAGAUAGUAUAUGAAAAUUGAACUUUGUAGGAAUAUACUUGUAAUUCACUAUGUUUGUAGGAACUUGUAUGUAUUUAACCCUUUAAAUUAAGAUAAAAUUGUGUAG